GGAUCCAGACUUUGAUCAUGGCUCAGGAUGAACGCUAGCGACAGGCUUAACACAUGCAAGUCGAGGGGCAGCGAGGGAGUGGCAACACUUCUGUCGGCGACCGGCGCACGGGUGAGUAACGCGUAUGCAACUUGCCCUUCACAGGGGGAUAACCGGGAGAAAUUCCGACUAAUACCGCAUACGUCCCCUGGGGGCAUCCCCGGGGGAUGAAAGAAUUAUCGGUGAAGGAUGGGCAUGCGUGAUAUUAGGUAGUUGGCGGGGCAACGGCCCACCAAGCCCACGAUAUCUAGGGGUUCUGAGAGGAAGGUCCCCCACAUUGGUACUGAGACACGGACCAAACUCCUACGGGAGGCAGCAGUGAGGAAUAUUGGUCAAUGGACGAGAGUCUGAACCAGCCAAGUCGCGUGAAGGAAGACGGAUCUAUGGUUUGUAAACUUCUUUAGUGCGGGAACAAAGCGGCGUCGUGACGCCGGAUGAGUGUACCGCAAGAAUAAGCAUCGGCUAACUCCGUGCCAGCAGCCGCGGUAAUACGGAGGAUGCGAGCGUUAUCCGGAUUUAUUGGGUUUAAAGGGAGCGCAGGCUGCGAGGCAAGUCAGCGGUCAAAUGUCGGGGCUCAACCCCGGCCUGCCGUUGAAACUGUCCUGCUAGAGUUCGAGUGAGGUAUGCGGAAUGCGUUGUGUAGCGGUGAAAUGCAUAGAUAUGACGCAGAACUCCGAUUGCGAAGGCAGCAUACCAACUCGCGACUGACGCUGAGGCUCGAAAGCGUGGGUAUCGAACAGGAUUAGAUACCCUGGUAGUCCACGCAGUAAACGAUGAAUACUAACUGUUCGGAGGGCGACCUCUGAGUGGUAAAGCGAAAGCGUUAAGUAUUCCACCUGGGGAGUACGCCGGCAACGGUGCAACUCAAAUGAAUUGACGG
This 919-nucleotide ribosomal RNA is filed under the name uncultured Bacillota bacterium. RNAcentral describes it as "bacterial SSU rRNA". It matches the Rfam family "Bacterial small subunit ribosomal RNA", at positions 1 to 916 of the family's 1533-position model. The record is from RNAcentral. Lineage: Bacteria; Bacillati; Bacillota.